RNAcentral lists this ribosomal RNA (254 nucleotides) under uncultured bacterium. RNAcentral describes it as "partial 16S ribosomal RNA". It matches the Rfam family "Bacterial small subunit ribosomal RNA", at positions 524 to 776 of the family's 1533-position model. The record is from RNAcentral.
GACGUAGGGCGCGAGCGUUGUCCGGAUUUAUUGGGCGUAAAGAGCUCGUAGGCGGCUUGUCGCGUCGACUGUGAAAACCCGCGGCUCAACCGUGUGGUCUGCAGUCGAUACGGGCAGGCUAGAGUUCGGUAGGGGAGACUGGAAUUCCUGGUGUAGCGGUGAAAUGCGCAGAUAUCAGGAAGAACACCUAUGGCGAAGGCAGCUCUCUGGGACGGUACUGACGCUGAGACGCGAAAGCGUGGGGAGCGAACAGG